AACGCUAGCUACAGGCUUAACACAUGCAAGUCGAGGGGCAUCAGGAAGAAAGCUUGCUUUCUUUGCUGGCGACCGGCGCACGGGUGAGUAACACGUAUCCAACCUGCCCUUUACUCGGGGAUAGCCUUUCGAAAGAAAGAUUAAUACCCGAUAGCAUAAUGAUUCCGCAUGGUUUCAUUAUUAAAGGAUUCCGGUAAAGGAUGGGGAUGCGUUCCAUUAGGUUGUUGGUGAGGUAACGGCCCACCAAGCCUUCGAUGGAUAGGGGUUCUGAGAGGAAGGUCCCCCACAUUGGAACUGAGACACGGUCCAAACUCCUACGGGAGGCAGCAGUGAGGAAUAUUGGUCAAUGGGCGCUAGCCUGAACCAGCCAAGUAGCGUGAAGGAUGAAGGCUCUAUGGGUCGUAAACUUCUUUUAUAUAAGAAUAAAGUGCAGUAUGUAUACUGUUUUGUAUGUAUUAUAUGAAUAAGGAUCGGCUAACUCCGUGCCAGCAGCCGCGGUAAUACGGAGGAUCCGAGCGUUAUCCGGAUUUAUUGGGUUUAAAGGGAGCGUAGGUGGACUGGUAAGUCAGUUGUGAAAGUUUGCGGCUCAACCGUAAAAUUGCAGUUGAUACUGUCAGUCUUGAGUACAGUAGAGGUGGGCGGAAUUCGUGGUGUAGCGGUGAAAUGCUUAGAUAUCACGAAGAACUCCGAUUGCGAAGGCAGCUCACUGGACUGCAACUGACACUGAUGCUCGAAAGUGUGGGUAUCAAACAGGAUUAGAUACCCUGGUAGUCCACACAGUAAACGAUGAAUACUCGCUGUUUGCGAUAUACAGUAAGCGGCCAAGCGAAAGCAUUAAGUAUUCCACCUGGGGAGUACGCCGGCAACGGUGAAACUCAAAGGAAUUGACGGGGGCCCGCACAAGCGGAGGAACAUGUGGUUUAAUUCGAUGAUACGCGAGGAACCUUACCCGGGCUUAAAUUGCAGUGGAAUGAUGUGGAAACAUGUCAGUGAGCAAUCACCGCUGUGAAGGUGCUGCAUGGUUGUCGUCAGCUCGUGCCGUGAGGUGUCGGCUUAAGUGCCAUAACGAGCGCAACCCUUAUCUUUAGUUACUAACAGGUUAUGCUGAGGACUCUAGAGAGACUGCCGUCGUAAGAUGUGAGGAAGGUGGGGAUGACGUCAAAUCAGCACGGCCCUUACGUCCGGGGCUACACACGUGUUACAAUGGGGGGUACAGAAGGCAGCUAGCGGGUGACCGUAUGCUAAUCCCAAAAUCCUCUCUCAGUUCGGAUCGAAGUCUGCAACCCGACUUCGUGAAGCUGGAUUCGCUAGUAAUCGCGCAUCAGCCACGGCGCGGUGAAUACGUUCCCGGGCCUUGUACACACCGCCCGUCAAGCCAUGGGAGCCGGGGGUACCUGAAGUACGUAACCGCAAGGAUCGUCCUAGGGUAAAACUGGUGACUGGGGCUAAG
Molecule: ribosomal RNA, 1450 nt
Filed under: uncultured organism
Description: SSU rRNA
Rfam family: Bacterial small subunit ribosomal RNA
Source: RNAcentral